CCUACGGGCGGCAGCAGUGAGGAAUAUUGGUCAAUGGACGAGAGUCUGAACCAGCCAAGUAGCGUGAAGGAUGACUGCCCUAUGGGUUGUAAACUUCUUUUAUAAAGGAAUAAAACGAGGCACGUGUGCCUUUUUGCAUGUACUUUAUGAAUAAGGAUCGGCUAACUCCGUGCCAGCAGCCGCGGUAAUACGAAGGAUCCGAGCGUUAUCCGGAUUUAUUGGGUUUAAAGGGAGCGUAGAUGGGUUGUUAAGUCAGUUGUGAAAGUUUGCGGCUCAACCGUAAAAUUGCAAUUGAUACUGGCAGUCGUGAGUACAGUUGAGGUAGGCGGAAUUCGUGGUGUAGCGGUGAAAUGCUUAGAUAUCAUGAAGAACCCCGAUUGCGAAGGCAGCUUACUAAACUGUGACUGACAUUGAUGCUCGAAAGUGUGGGUAUCAAACAGGAUUAGAUACCCCUGUAGUC
RNAcentral lists this ribosomal RNA (460 nucleotides) under uncultured bacterium. RNAcentral describes it as "partial 16S ribosomal RNA". It matches the Rfam family "Bacterial small subunit ribosomal RNA", at positions 338 to 795 of the family's 1533-position model. The record is from RNAcentral.